This 119-nucleotide ribosomal RNA is filed under the name Pteropus alecto (black flying fox). RNAcentral also lists the same sequence under 1 other name. Lineage: Eukaryota; Metazoa; Chordata; Mammalia; Chiroptera; Pteropodidae. The record is from RNAcentral.
GUCUAUGGCCAUGCCACCCUGAAUGUGCCUGAUCUCGUCUGAUCUUGGAAGCUAAACAUGGUCGGGCCUGGUUAGUACUUGGAUAGGAGACCAUCUAGGAAUACCAGCUGCUGUAGAAA